RNAcentral lists this ribosomal RNA (181 nucleotides) under Devosia sp. RNAcentral describes it as "partial 23S ribosomal RNA". It matches the Rfam family "Bacterial large subunit ribosomal RNA", at positions 2733 to 2925 of the family's 2925-position model. The record is from RNAcentral. Lineage: Bacteria; Pseudomonadati; Pseudomonadota; Alphaproteobacteria; Hyphomicrobiales; Devosiaceae.
CGGCAUUGCAGGGUAGCUAUAUUCGGACGGGAUAACUGCUGAAAGCAUCUAAGCAGGAAGCCUCCUUCAAAACGAGCAUUCCCUUGAGAGCCGUGGAAGACCACCACGUUGAUAGGCCGGAUGUGGAAGCGCAGCGAUGUGUGAAGCUGACCGGUACUAAUAGCUCGAUUGUCUUGAUCGU